Molecule: ribosomal RNA, 376 nt
Filed under: uncultured Streptomyces sp.
Lineage: Bacteria; Bacillati; Actinomycetota; Actinomycetes; Kitasatosporales; Streptomycetaceae
Description: bacterial SSU rRNA
Rfam family: Bacterial small subunit ribosomal RNA
Source: RNAcentral
GUUGGGUUAAGUCCCGCAACGAGCGCAACCCUUGUUCUGUGUUGCCAGCAUGCCCUUCGGGGUGAUGGGGACUCACAGGAGACUGCCGGGGUCAACUCGGAGGAAGGUGGGGACGACGUCAAGUCAUCAUGCCCCUUAUGUCUUGGGCUGCACACGUGCUACAAUGGCCGGUACAAAGAGCUGCGAUGCCGCGAGGCGGAGCGAAUCUCAAAAAGCCGGUCUCAGUUCGGAUUGGGGUCUGCAACUCGACCCCAUGAAGUCGGAGUUGCUAGUAAUCGCAGAUCAGCAUUGCUGCGGUGAAUACGUUCCCGGGCCUUGUACACACCGCCCGUCACGUCACGAAAGUCGGUAACACCCGAAGCCGGUGGCCNACCCC